RNAcentral lists this ribosomal RNA (253 nucleotides) under uncultured bacterium. RNAcentral's name for it is "partial 16S ribosomal RNA". It matches the Rfam family "Bacterial small subunit ribosomal RNA", at positions 524 to 776 of the family's 1533-position model. The record is from RNAcentral.
UACGUAGGGGGCAAGCGUUGUCCGGAUUUAUUGGGCGUAAAGAGCGUGUAGGCGGCCACACAGGUCAGCUGUGAAAACUCGAGGCUCAACCUCGAGACGUCGGUUGAAACCGUAUGGCUAGAGUCCGGAAGAGGAGAGUGGAAUUCCCGGUGUAGCGGUGAAAUGCGCAGAUAUCGGGAAGAACACCCGUGGCGAAGGCGGCUCUCUGGGACGGUACUGACGCUGAGACGCGAAAGCGUGGGGAGCAAACAGG